AGCAUCCAUUUGAAUAAUUUCAGAUUAAUCAAGCCUAUGAUUUGCAAUGGCCUAGGCUCCAACCAUUAAUCUCAUGUUGAUUACCUGUAGCAAAUAAAAAGAAAACCCAAAUUAAUACGACUGGGAGGGGGACCGCUCCACCGCCCAUCACCACUUCGGAGGAGCUGGCUCUCGCCAAUAACGAAGGUCGGCCGAUGAUGGUAGGAGUGGAAGGGGGGAUGUCCUCUGACCCCACUGCCUCGACAUCCAAGGCGUUUGUAAUGAUUGAAGGUACAAACAUUAUUUUGGAGGAGCUGCCGACAAUCAAUCUCCAAUCAGAGGAGACUCUGUCGGCCUGUGACUCCAGGGCGACUAUGGAGGUGAUUUUUCCUAACAAUUCUCACAGCUAUAAUAUGAAUUUGUAGAAUAAAAAAUGCCUAGGCCUAAUUGUGUCAUUGACAUAGCGGUUAUGUAAGGGAUAAUGGACAACACGGCACUUGACUAUCCAAGGUUAAUGUACGUUGAACGUGGGGCCACCUUUGAACUUGAAACGUAGACACACUGCGCAACAGUAAGUGCAUGGCUUCUUUGUGUAGCAUUGCCUACAUAUGGUCCAACAAGCACGAUCAAAUAACGUAUACCCUCUGAUGAGAAUCUGUAUCUCUCAUAAAGAAUAUCGUCAGACAAUGCCAAGGGAUCGGUUCUGUCCCGAAAAACCCUCUGUCUCCGCAGAGACGCCUGUACGCUAAGUGCGCCAAGGUCCAUGGGAACACCCACAAAUGGUGACGCCAUUGUCUGAGGAGGGUCUAGGAAGCUGCGCACGCCGAUUUAAGUAGCCGAUCUCCAGGUAGACUAAGCUGAGAAGCUGCUCCCGACCAGGUUUGGUUGCGACCAUAAGUCACCAUGGUGAUACAGCGACGCUUAAAGAGAUCAACUUUCGUGGUAC
Gadus macrocephalus (Pacific cod) is the source of this 925-nucleotide long non-coding RNA. RefSeq lists it as uncharacterized. The transcript has 3 exons. NCBI's taxonomy places the organism in Eukaryota, Metazoa, Chordata, Actinopteri, Gadiformes, Gadidae. The record is from RefSeq and is a predicted model, not a curated record.